UUUUAGUGUUUCUAGGGCACCUAUAACCUCAUAAAGAGAUUGUUCAUGCCACAAUUUUCAUUACUUCACUUUUGGAGUUGUGGCUUUAUGAAUAUACUGGAGAAGAAAGACCUAACACCUGCUAAAGGGCCUUCUGUCCAGUCUGCCUAAAUUUCCUUCAUGUGGCUAACGCAUCCUGAACUCUCAGUAGCUUUGUGGUUUUAAAAAACAAUUUUAACAGAAUCCCUGCCCCUAUGAUAACAUGAGGGAGCAGGGGGGUUGGAAUCAGACAGGCCUAGUGUAUACAGAUGCUUAAAAUACAUCACUGACUAAAGGCUCAUAUUUCAUAUCCAUUGGAUCUCAGAACAAAAGGUAUUCGGUUUUCUUUAUGGAAACUGCCCCCUUCUAAAAUUAAUCAAAGCAGUCAGCAAAGAUCCAUAGAAUACAAGAUAAGACGAACUAAAAAAUAAGUCUGCAGUUGGGAAAAUAAGGACAAAGGGGAAACAACAGAAGGAGAGUAAUACAAAACCAAGUGAGAUUAGGACACACAAGGCCAGGUGAACAUGCCUGGCACCUGCCACAGAUGGGGCAAACAUUUGCAUCCACCGCCUUCCAGAGGCCUGUGCAAAGACAGACAUGCAACCAGUGCCCCGAGGCAGUGCCUGCGUAGAAGACAGACCUUCAGAACUAGCAGGUGAGGGACUUGGGACAGGGGGGUUAUCUCAGGAAAACUAGAGAGAGGCCCAUACCCACACUGGGGAGGGCAGAGUCAGCACAUGAUGGCUGGGGUGAAACUCCUGAAAAUAGGAUCUGGGGUCUAGUCUUUUUUUUUUUUUUUUUUUUUUUUUAGGGCCACCUCCACAGCAUAUGGAGGUUCCCAGGCUAGGGGUCGAAUCAGAGCUACAGCUGCCGGCCUACACCCCAGCCAUAGCAACGUGAGAUCCGAGCCGCAUCUGUGACCUACACCACAGCCCACAGCAACACCAGCUCCUUAACCCACUGAGCGAGGCCAGGGAUCGAACCCGCAACUUCAUGGUUCCUAGUCGGAUUCGGUUCCACUGCACCACCACGGGAACUCCAUGGGGGUCUAGUCUUUUACAAAAACAAAUGGGCACUUGAAGACCCAGAGUCCUGCACCACAGGGUGUGGCCAUCAGGCCUUCAACUUGGAAAAUAUUUUAAGCAUGUGUAACCAAACACCCACUUCGGAGGUUUCAAGAAAAAAGCAAAAACUAUAGUAGGGGUCAGAGAACCCGAGGCUUUGAACAAUGUAACUCCCUGGCAACCAGAGGCCUGAUGCCAGAAUGUAUCGAAUUUCCAAUAGGGUGGUUAGAGCCAAGCCAGAUCACAGGCCUGUGAUCACAGCAGAACUGCCAAGGCAAGGCUUCACGAGGGAGAGGAAAGCGGUGGUUCUGGAGCUUUAGCAGCAUCACAGUCACCUGCAGGCUUAUUAAAACAAUCGCUGGGCCCCAGCCCUGGAGUUUCUCAUGGGGGUAGGGCUGAGAAGGUGCGUGUCAAAAGAGUUCCCAAGUGAUGCUUAUGCUGCUGGUUCUGGGACCCACAAUUUGAAAACUAGAACCUGGGUGCAACUCGGAUGACCCACAUAUUUGAGGAUGGGCAUUACAUUACAAAAUCUUAAUGUCGUUACUAAAACUAACUCCAAUUUUCAGGAUGGCAUGGGUUGCAGUGAAGCGGCCCACUCCGUACCUACCCUGAGCAGCCUACUCUUUGCUAUAGAUGCCUGCCUCUUUGAGUUGAAAAUCCCCAGGGAGAACUCUGAUUUCAGAUCCCGCCAUCUGCGGCCCUGCUUGCUGUUACUAAGUUGGAGCAGAGUUUCUUAUCAAAGCUUGCCCGGCUUGAAACAAUAUAACAGUGUCAUCUGCAAAGAGGAAAGGGAGCAUCUUUCUGUUUUCUGUGGUGAAGACGAGAAUAUCCAGUUUAUCCCCAAAUGGUAUUCGGUCAUUAAGGUAAUUCAACCGCACAAAUAUCGUUUUGAGCACAAUCUGUGCACCUACUGUUCUUAGACCUGCGGGGAUGCUGCUUGACUGCCUGGUGCUCGGGUGGGGGUGAGUGGCAGGGGAGCUGAGAGCACACACAUUGUUCUCCCAGGACGCAGUUAUCUGUGUCAAAAGGCCAUUGCCAAGGGCCUCACUCUCACUGCGUGGCCUUCCUGCCGUCACACUAUUGGGGAUGAGCCCGUUUGAAGUUGGUGCGGCUUAAUCCCAGGCUGACUGCACAGACGUUGGAUGGCGCUAAGAGCUACAAGCCAUCUCAUGCCACCCAACGUAUUUCUACGCAGGAUGGGAAGAGCUCGGCUGACCAUACCGACAACCUGCUUUUGGUUUCAAACAGCCGUCCAUUUACCAAAGAGGAAACUGAGGCUCAGAGGGGUUAAGCAACUGGUUUGUGGUCACACAGGAAGCAAGGGCCAAAGCCAGGAUGUCAAGACAGGUGUCAUGUCUUCACCCUGAGCCUCAGCUCCUUCCUCUGUAAGUCCCAGAAAAUAAUAAUAUCCACAGGGUGGAUCUAAAGAUCCCAGGAGACAACCUGCAGGCUGCCUCUCCUUUGGCAGAGGCCCAGCUUCCUCCCUUCUAUCUGAACUCAUAGCAGCAAAAUUGCACUCUCGUUGGGAUUACCACUCCAUGAAUAUACAGAGGACAUAAAUUUUUCCCCAAGAUAAUCUCUCUAAAUGAAGAACACACAGCCCCCGUGGAAAGCUUCGCAGUCUCCGUUCCUCCUCAUUUAAUCCUCACAGUAAUAUUGGGAUAUAGGUAUGAUUAUCCCCAUUUGACAGAAGAGGAAACUGAGGGUUUAAAUUGGACAAGAAAGUGCCUUCUUUCCCCUUUUACCAUGUAAACAUGAUGCAAUCUCAUUCAAACGAGUUAUGUUUUCUUUCCCCAAAAUAAAGAGGUUGUUAGUCACAUAGUUAAGAAUAGAGACAUGCUUAGAACAAAAGGGAAAAAAUAUAUAUAGAGAGAGAGAGACACACAAGCAUAGGCACACGUAGUCCUUCUAUAAAUAAAACAUUUUUCUUUAAUACUACGACAACUGCUAUCUUUGUUUUGGCAUUGAGGAGGGAUUAAACUAUACAAAAUUGUAAGGCAAACAUGGUGCUGACGGUGGGCAGGGCACUAAGGGGGGGGAGUGGGAAGUGCGCUUUGUUUCUAGAGGGCCUAGGCAAGGAGGAGAAGCAGCUGGUGCUGCCAUGCCCAGGAGCACGUGCCCCUCGGUCCGUCUGGCAUGUCAGUGGCUGCCAACACCCCACUCCUCAAGCCUGACUGAGCCCUUGGUACCUUCGGAGCUGGCAGAUGUCUGUGAGCUCUCAGCCCCCUCCCCGUCACACCUGUAAAGCCAAGCAGGGGAGCCCCAUCCACUGGCAGCAUUUUAUCCCAGGUCCUUACCUCACGGGCUGUCCAUGGAGAGAGGCCCGAAUUAGGGCAGUUUAGAAAGAGGGGGGGCAGACAAAAAGAAGUCCUUGUUCCUAAGCCUCUGGCGCUCCUGGCCUAAGCCUGCCUGGAAGACACUCUGCAUGGGGGAAGGGCCAGCCCUCUGGGCUUGGGCUCUGGUCCUGGCUCUGUCAUUUCUCAUGGCCUACUUCUGGGUAAGUCCCUUAAAACUCAUUCGCCUCGGUUUCCUCACCUAUAAGUGGGGAUAAGAACACCCACCUUCCAGAAUGUUUGUGAGGCUCAAUAAGAAGUAGCCCUUGAAUCCACAGUCUGAAUUGGGUCCCCUGCUGUCACUCCUGGGAUCCUGGAUAUUCCGUCCAGGCUACAGUUCAAGUUCCCCUAUCAUUAAUUAGCUGUGGGAAAGUCAGUUAACCUUGCUGGGCUCCAGUUUUCUCUUCUGUAAAGUGGGGGUCAUGACAGAGAGGAGCCUGGGAGACUGAUUACCAAGAUGCAAUGAGAUCAUACAUGCAGAGUCUGAUACAUGGUAAAUUGCACUUAAGUGGUAGUGUCUUCAAAGCUGUCAUGCUUGACAUGUAACAUCUGCCUUCUACACUAGACUGUCAUUCCUUCAGUCUUAUGAACAUGGAUGGAGCACCUAUUACAUGACUGACACUGUUCCAAGUGCUGUGACACGGUGACAAAUAAGACAAACUCUCCUGAAAAUUACAGGCUAAGGGGGGAGGCUGAAAAUAAACAAUGGACUAUCACGUAUUCAUGAAGGCUCUGGUAAGAAUGAAAGAGGAGGAGGUUUCUUCCAGGCCUCACGGCAUAGAGGAGCUAGCCAUGUACAGAUGUGAGGGAAGAGAGUCUUAGGCAGAGGGAACAGCCAACGUAGAGGCCCUAAGGCAGGAAUGAGCACGGCUUGUGUGAAGAUCAGAAAGGCCAGCGGGGCAGGAACAUAGGAAGCAAAGGGGAAGAAUGAUGCAGGAGGAGGUCAGAGAGGCGGCAGGAGAUAGAUCAGGUGGGCGCUUGCAGCCAGGAGAGCUUAGGUUAUGUUGCAAAAGGGAUGAGAAGUCAGUUUAGGAGGGGGGGGGGCGCUGGUGAGAACAUGGCCUGGAUUAUAUUUUAAAUAGAUCCAGAGGGACUACUAUGGGGAGACUUCUGGCAGAGUCACUAAUGUCAUCGCCCCCACUUUAGACACUGUUCUCAAACAAGUCUGCUGGGGAGGGGGUGCUAAUAUCAUGCCUGUUUUACAGAUGUGGAAAUCAGGACACAGAAGGGUUAAAUAACCCCCCACAAGGCACCAAGUAAGAUUUGGGGACUCGGAGGGCAAACUCAAGUAGCCGGACCCCAGAGCCUGUGCCCCUCACCAUCAUACCACACUGCCUCUUAGAUGAACAGAAUGGCCCCAUUCUCGGUAGCCCUGGCUUGGUGCAGAGUGAGCCCCCAGUAAAUGUUUGUUGAAUAAUGAAUGACAUAAAAAAUUUCUGUAAAUUGAGAAGUGCUACGUAAAUAUUCUUAUGGUUAACAAAUUCUUCAGAUUACAGGAAUUCCGUUCAUUUCAAACUUCCUCUAAUGCGUAACAGAUUUUCCUGGGAAAAGGAAAAGAACAGAGGUAGGACAUUGACUUCACGGCUGAGUUCCUUUACCGAGAGGCAAACAGCAGUUUGACAAAUCCGGCCUGAGACACACUGGAGGGGCGGUUUCCGUCUAAGACAACUCCGGUGGUUGGCCUCCAGAAGAUGAAAAAUUCCCGUCUACGCAGUUAAUCACCACCACCAUCCACUUUCUUUCUUCCUAUUUCACUUGUCGGUGAAUGAAUACUUUCAAAAGAAAUACUUCCAAGCAUUUCACUCAUACAGGUGGGAAAACUUUUAUUAUUUUUUUUUCUUUUUAG
This 5261-nucleotide long non-coding RNA is filed under the name Sus scrofa (pig). RNAcentral's name for it is "lncRNA (ENSSSCG00015057645.1)". The record is from RNAcentral. Lineage: Eukaryota; Metazoa; Chordata; Mammalia; Artiodactyla; Suidae.